ACGUAGGGGGCUAGCGUUAUCCGGAUUUACUGGGCGUAAAGGGUGCGUAGGCGGUCUUUCAAGUCAGGAGUUAAAGGCUACGGCUCAACCGUAGUAAGCUCCUGAUACUGUCUGACUUGAGUGCAGUUGAGGCAGGCGGAAUUCGGGGUGUAGCGGUGAAAUGCGUAGAUAUUGGGAGGAACACCAGUAGCGAAGGCGGCUUUCUGGACUGUAACUGACGCUGAGGCACGAAAGCGUGGGGAGCAAACAGGAUUAGAUACCCUGGUAGUCCACGCUGUAAACGAUGAGUACUAGGUGUCGGAGGUUACCCCCUUCGGUGCCGCAGCUAACGCAUUAAGUACUCCGCCUGGGGAGUACGCACGCAAGUGUG
This 370-nucleotide ribosomal RNA is filed under the name uncultured bacterium. RNAcentral describes it as "bacterial SSU rRNA". It matches the Rfam family "Bacterial small subunit ribosomal RNA", at positions 525 to 896 of the family's 1533-position model. The record is from RNAcentral.